UGGGGAAUUUUGGACAAUGGGGGCAACCCUGAUCCAGCAAUGCCGCGUGUGUGAAGAAGGCCUUCGGGUUGUAAAGCACUUUUGUCCGGGAAGAAAUCCCCUGCCCUAAUACGGCGGGGGGAUGACGGUACCGGAAGAAUAAGCACCGGCUAACUACGUGCCAGCAGCCGCGGUAAUACGUAGGGUGCGAGCGUUAAUCGGAAUUACUGGGCGUAAAGCGUGCGCAGGCGGUGAUGUAAGACCGAUGUGAAAUCCCCGGGCUCAACCUGGGAACUGCAUUGGUGACUGCAUUGCUCGAGUAUGGCAGAGGGGGGUGGAAUUCCACGUGUAGCAGUGAAAUGCGUAGAGAUGUGGAGGAACACCGAUGGCGAAGGCAGCCCCCUGGGCCAAUACUGACGCUCAUGCACGAAAGCGUGGGGAGCAAACAGGAUUAGAUACCCUGGUAGUCCACGCCCUAAACGAUGUCAACUGGUUGUCGGGCCUUCAUUGGCUUGGUAACGUAGCUAACGCGUGAAGUUGACCGCCUGGGGGAGUACGGUCGCAAGAUUAAAACUCAAAUGAAUUGACGGGGUCAUA
Molecule: ribosomal RNA, 576 nt
Filed under: uncultured bacterium
Lineage: Bacteria
Description: partial 16S ribosomal RNA
Rfam family: Bacterial small subunit ribosomal RNA
Source: RNAcentral